Molecule: long non-coding RNA, 1740 nt
Organism: Petromyzon marinus (sea lamprey)
Lineage: Eukaryota; Metazoa; Chordata; Hyperoartia; Petromyzontiformes; Petromyzontidae
Source: RefSeq, a predicted model, not a curated record
UGCAAAUUGAACAAUUGUAACAGGCAGCUGCAGGGCCAGUUUUACGGCAAUCGAUUGUCCUAUAUGGUGUGUGUGUGUGCUCGAUGUUAAUUACUGCAAUCAGUUAUACACAAAGACUGUUCCAGUCCUCCUCGCCCAAUCAUCGCACAUUGAGGCCCUCCCGCGUCGAGCGAGGAAUCACCGCCAGCCCCGGGAGCGCGUGCGGGCGCUCACCGGUGACAAGAAGUCACGAGGGUGGUGGUGGUGGGGGGGUGGCAGGGAGGGAGCCACGCGGACGCCUCGACCACGCGCGCUCAUGGCACGCGCAUGAACUAAUCUGGGUGCGCUCGCCGCGUGUUAACUUAGACGUGCUGCUACUAUCCGUUGUCGCAGGUGACAAAGGGCCCCGGUGGUCAUCAUGAAGGGACAUGCGACAGGCCAUGCUCGGCAUUCCCGUCGCUCAUCGCUGCGCCAAGACCCCAUGAAUCCCUCUCUGCCAUCAGCCAAGAGAAUAUUCCACCUCACCGGGUUCGUUAAGGGCCUCUCCAUCAUUUCAGAGGUUCGAUGCCUUUUGCAUGACUGCACUGCCGAGAGUCUUCUGCCUGUGUUUACGUUGCUAAAGUUUUAACGUUAAUUUCGUUUGGAAGAUAACAUGUUCGAUAAUAUAAGCAUUGAUUUUUCUCUCACUGUAUGUAUGAUCAGUAGCACCGGUAAUUUCUUAGGCACAUUUUUAACGUGCCUUUUUGUAACAUAACGUAAAAUACUACACCCUAAAAUGUGACAGCAAAUGUCAUUGUUAUCACAAUAAAUGUCAUUGUUGUCACGAGUUUACAAAAGUAAUUAAAUGAAUUUGUCCAAAAUGUUUAAAUUCAAUAUGCAAUUUACAAGGAAAGAAAUGGAAUUGGCUUGACUUUGAAAAUCUCUACUGCUGCAACCCGAUUCAAAUUUGCAUUUAAUUACAAGGUAUGAAAAUAUAAGAUACUGUACUCCAAAUAUGUUUAAACAUAAUUCAAAAAAUGUGUUUAAAUUGAUUAUCAUUACUUGGUUUUAGUGAUUUUUUGCCUUGCAUGUGACAAUUGCUGUUAUUGAUAGGGUCCGUGCUUUACAGCGAUACAUCGUACGAUAUUAGAUUCACAAUGUGCAUAUCGUUCAUUUUGCAAAAUGCUAACGUGAUUAUCAUUGCUGUUUUAAUUUUGUCAAAUAUUGUUUUUGUUGAAGGAAUAUUUUUCUGAACUUACAAACUCAAGCAAUGAAGUUCUAAAUAAACGGCCAAUGUUAAUUAACCUAGUGCUUUGCUAAAUAUUUUGGUGAGUAAUUGACGGCAUGGUGGUAAUAUGAUGGUAUUACAUUCACAGUUAAUUAAAUUAUCAAUAUAUUUAUUGUGUAACUGACAGCAUAUACGUUAGAAGCAUUGUACAAAGUAAAAUUGCAAUGAUCGGAAGACUUUCGACAGGCUAAUGUUAGGUUAACUGCAGUUGAAAAACGUGGAAGUGAUCUUUAUUCAUAUUAUAAAUACAGCAAAAAAACUCAAAUAAAAUAAUACAAUUGUGAAAUACAAUUGCAAAGUUACAGGAAGCUGAUAUUGUGAUAAUCGUAAUAUCGUGACACUUGAUAUCAUGUCGUAAUGUGAAAAAUUAUACUUCACAACCCUGGUUAUUUAAUACAAUCAGAUAUGCCGAGUGAUUUGUUUGAUUAAUCUCUGAGCUGUUGUUAUGUUUCACCACAUUUUAAGUUACUUUUUACGCAAAUACUUUUUGUAAA